RNAcentral lists this transfer RNA (68 nucleotides) under Marmota monax (woodchuck). RNAcentral's name for it is "tRNA.Undet". The record is from RNAcentral. Lineage: Eukaryota; Metazoa; Chordata; Mammalia; Rodentia; Sciuridae.
GGGGGUAUAGCUCAGCUGGUAGAGUGCUUGCAUGCACAAGGCCCUGGGUUCAACCUCCAGAACCACCA